GACAGAGGCCCCGAGCGUUAGGCGGAAUCACUGGGCUUAAAGCGUGUGUAGGCGGGCCCGUAAGUGUCUUGUGAAAUCCCACGGCUCAACCGUGGAACUGCUGGGCAUACUGCGGGUCUUGGGCCAACUAGGGGCAGCCGGAACAAGCGGUGGAGCGGUGAAAUGCGUAGAUAUCGCUUGGAACGCCGAAGGUGAAAACAGGCUGCUGGGGUUGCGCCGACGCUGAGACACGAAAGCCAGGGGAGCGAAUGGG
Molecule: ribosomal RNA, 253 nt
Filed under: uncultured bacterium
Lineage: Bacteria
Description: partial 16S ribosomal RNA
Rfam family: Bacterial small subunit ribosomal RNA
Source: RNAcentral